GAUCCCGCCCCCUCCCGUAGGAAACUCCAAGAGCCUGCAAGGGCUGAUUCACCCGUGAUUCAACCCGCCGCCGAUCGCUGGUUCCCUUCGGCGGCUCCAGGUGCUGAGCGGAACCGGGCCCCCAGCCGUCCAGCCCCCGGGACACCCAGGCCUGGGUGGGCGGCAGAAAACAAAUGGAUUGUUAAAACAAUUUUUCGACCCCUUUCAGUAACGCUCAGCAGUUACCAGAGCUCCCUCCUGUUAUGAUGCAUCUCGGAGACGUUGCGAAGUUGCCGAAGUUCCUAAGCUGUAGCGCUGAUCAAGCUUGUCUGACCAAUCCGCUUUUCAUGAGAUCUUAUGAAAUGUCAGAGGACUUGGGGGGACCUGGCGGCCAUGCCUUCACAGAGGCUCCUGCCCUCAGCUGGCCCCAGUGGGAUCUCUGAUGCAGAUGUCAUUUUCUGUCCCAGAGCUUUCCUUCCAAGAGGGUGCUUUCUCUCCCUAUGCGAGGCAGUAAGACUGACGCCGCAGCCCAGGCUCACCGGAUUAAAGUGUUCAUCCGCAGGUGCUCCAUCAUGCUCGGCAGCUGCGGUAGAAAAUAUUUGUAGUUUGUUCUCCGGCAGAUAAAAUCCUCAUGUUUUCUCCUUCAAACACGCGUGCACGGAGAUGUGCAGAGGAGGUUGCCUUGUGUUUGCAUAACCAGUGAUGAAAUGUGGUUGACGAGGAGCCUGAAAGGGACGGGGGCCCUGCUGCAGGGCUUCCUCUGUGAUUUAUAGUAUCCCCCCCCCCCAACCCCGAUCGCACAGACCUGCUCUCAUUGACUACUUGAUUUCACCUGCGUGUCGUUUUCUGUCUUUCCCACUCAACUCCUUAAAGGAGGAAGGACUGGGUUUUCUGCUUUUUAAAAAAACACUUCUCACACAAUUACAAGCACCUGAUGGGCUUUUAAUACAUUUUGAAUCAAUGAAUACUUUUUAAAACCAUCAUGCAGCCAGAUAUUUUCAUUGGCAUUCAAGAGACGAAACUUGUCAUUGAAAUGUCUCUGUCUAGUGGCUGGCAGUGAAUGUUCCAUAAGGCUCAACCGGGAAGAAAAUUCAAAUCCAGCAUUUAUUGCGGGGCAUCGCUUGAGCGUAAGCUCCAGAUGUUUCAUGAUUAGAGAUCCUUCUUGCUACAGCCCCGCAAUCUCAUCAGGAAAUGUGGCUGAAGAGAAAAAACAAAUGCGGGAGCUUGGGAACUUGUUAGCGUUUUCCUGAAAGACUUGAUAGUAAAGUGAUUCAGAAGAUUUUCAGUCAUCUCAUGAGCUGUUAAUAGCUUUCCUUGCAUAAAAAGGCUGAACAACUUUUCAGGAUAAAUUGCACAAAAUCUAUCCAGGAAAGGGAUAAAGUCAGCCGUAUGAUAGAAUAUGAGAUUGAGAGCAAUUCAAAUUCAUAUAAAAAUGUUAUGUUCAUAUGACAUAGUAAAGAGAGCAAGAAAACCAUUUUACUCAAAAUUCAGGUAAAAGCCAAAAUAUGAAAAAUGGCCAGAGGAAAUUGGAGUGGGAACACAGAGUUCUAGGAGAAAAAUGUGACUUAGCAGAACCUAAAAAACAUCUGGCAGGGUAUAAUUAGUCAUGGAAAAAUUGACAGUCAUGACUAUGCAUUUUGAGAAAAUAAUUAUAUACUAGUCCAGCAGCUAACAUUUCAACCAAAAUGAAAUAGUUAAGAGCCCAUAUAAUGAAAUCUGUUAUCUUGGUCACUCAAAAUACUUCUAUUAGCUUUCUAGAAUAGUUUACAAGAAACUUUACCAAAUAAGUUAUCCCAUAGCAGCAGUAUCCUGAAAAGUAUAAUUUUAGAGAAAAAUCUUGCAGUUUCAACCUUACUAAUACGGGAUUAGUAUUUUCAGCACACCACUCUCUUUAUAAUGUUAAGGCUUAUGAAACUACCUGCCAGAUUUCAGUUUGAAGAAGACUAAAUAUUCAUCAUACAUCCUCUACAUAUGAUGUAUUUAUGAUUAAACAAAUCAUAAGCUGUGGAUAUUGUUUUAGUAACAAAAAGGUAUUUAAAAUUUCAGUCCUUAACAUAUAUUUUUAAAUAUAUGUUCUUAUUAAUAUAACAUGAUUUUAAAAGUUUUUACGUGGUAUCAUUUUAUGUAAGCAUCCCUUAAUUCCCUAUUUCUAUAACUCUUUAUACUUGACUGUUGGGCUACACCAGUUGGGUUGCCCAGCCUCGAGACCAAAGAAAGAGCCUGGAGACAGAGACAUCAAGGGUUUAAGAGAUAGGGGGGCGCUCUUACACAAAGGGUCCUGGAUUGACACCUCCCCUUGUGCGUGUGUGACGGGCAGGACCUGGCAACAGUCUUCGUUACUGGGGGAUGGGGGAGAAGCCGGCCACCAUUUAUAGGGGGAAUUGAUGUCAGGUGGGCUCACCAAUUGUAAGGGACGAAUUAAGCCCUAUAAUUAAGAGGAUUGGCUGGUCAUGUGAGUGAAGCAGGGCCUGGUGAAACAGGAGACACACAGACAGCAAGACAAUAGCCAUCUUGAGCGGCCUGCCCACACACUGACCUAUGUGCCAGGUGGAUCAACAUACUUCCAUUCAUUCAAUAAAUGCUUGCAUAGCUUACCUGAUGCUGAGUUCUCUGCUUGACUGUGGAUAUAAAACCCAAAGAGUCCUUUCCAAAUAUAUAUAUAUAUAUAUAUAUGAAUCAUAUGAUGUAUGACUAUAACUCCUACUUACUGGUUUGAAUGAUAUUGUCAGCAUUUUGGAUUGGAUAUGAAAAAUCUUAACAAUGGUUUUUAUUAAUAAAUUUUGUUCCAUGCAAA
Molecule: long non-coding RNA, 2773 nt
Organism: Phacochoerus africanus (Common warthog)
Lineage: Eukaryota; Metazoa; Chordata; Mammalia; Artiodactyla; Suidae
Exons: 2
Source: RefSeq, a predicted model, not a curated record